RNAcentral lists this long non-coding RNA (329 nucleotides) under Trifolium pratense (red clover). RNAcentral's name for it is "long non-coding RNA (TPRA_LNC006414)". Lineage: Eukaryota; Viridiplantae; Streptophyta; Magnoliopsida; Fabales; Fabaceae. The record is from RNAcentral.
CCAUUGAAACAAUACUUGUUUCUGUUGAUGAACACAAAAUAAGCAACAUAAAUUCAAGUGAAUGCAUGGAAGAGAUCACACCACAAAAUUCCUUCGAAUCUGAUAUAGAUGGAUUAUAUACUUCGCUUGAAGUAGAUAAGUCUUUUGAAAUUUUUGCUUCUAAAUUUGAUGUCUGUAAUGUUUGUUGUGAGAUCAAUGCAGCCAUUGUAAGUGAAGAAAUUUUGAUGCCGACAACCACUUGUGCAGAAAUUCAAAAGAAUUCAAUAACAAUUGAAUUUGACACUACAAGUGUGGAUGUUAGCCGCAGGCAACCAUUGCCCAUAGCGGAA